RNAcentral lists this ribosomal RNA (208 nucleotides) under uncultured bacterium. RNAcentral describes it as "partial 16S ribosomal RNA". It matches the Rfam family "Bacterial small subunit ribosomal RNA", at positions 1293 to 1500 of the family's 1533-position model. The record is from RNAcentral.
UCAGACUGCAGGCUGCAACUCGCCUGCACGAAGUCGGAAUUGCUAGUAAUCGCGGAUCAGAAUGCCGCGGUGAAUACGUUCCCGGGCCUUGUACACACCGCCCGUCACACCAUGGGAGUCGGUAACACCCGAAGUCGGUGGUCUAACCGCAAGGAGGACGCCGCCGAAGGUGGGAUUGAUGACUGGGGUGAAGUCGUAACAAGGUAUC